This 560-nucleotide long non-coding RNA is filed under the name Numida meleagris (helmeted guineafowl). RNAcentral's name for it is "lncRNA (ENSNMEG00000013642.1)". The record is from RNAcentral. Lineage: Eukaryota; Metazoa; Chordata; Aves; Galliformes; Numididae.
UGGGAAUUACUGUAGAAGUGUUACUGUUUUUUAACUAUCAUGUAUAGAUAUGUACUUGCAUAGCUAUUUCCUAUGUAUCCUGAGCUGUUAAUGAAAUAAUGGUGCUUUUUGCUUGUUUUAGAUGUAGGCUCAUGAUUUGUUAAUGGAAAUUAUAAUCUAGUUUCCAUUGGCUCUGAAAUCUGACCAAACUUGUAUCUUUAUUAAAUUUCUAGGACUGUGAGGGGAUAUGAAUUCCCUGUGGCCCUGAAGAGGAAAAAGAAAUUACUUUUUGACUGUGAUUGGACAGCAUAAAAAAUUGCAUUGUCUUAGAUGAACAAAAUGAGUGAAGCCACACCAACUAACAGCAGUGGCUGAAGGUGGAUAUCAUUAAGCCUGCAGAAAGUUUUCUACUAAGGAAUCAUUGUCAACUGAUUCUGACCUGUCAUAGAUUUUUUUUAUUGUUGUACAUUGGAUUUUGCAUCCAGAGGUCAUCUCAACCACAGUUUCUGCCUGCCUGUUCUCAUGUCUGCUCAGGAUGAAUGAAAGUGCUGCAGAAAAUAUUGUUCUUUUGCACUUUACUU